Molecule: ribosomal RNA, 468 nt
Filed under: uncultured bacterium
Lineage: Bacteria
Description: partial 16S ribosomal RNA
Rfam family: Bacterial small subunit ribosomal RNA
Source: RNAcentral
GACGAACGCUGGCGGCGUGCUUAACACAUGCAAGUCGAACGGAAAGGCCCUGCUUUUGUGGGGUGCUCGAGUGGCGAACGGGUGAGUAACACGUGUGUAACCUGCCCUUGACUUUGGGAUAACUUCAGGAAACUGGGGCUAAUACCGGAUAGGAGCUCCUGCUGCAUGGUGGGGGUUGGAAAGUUUCGGCGGUUGGGGAUGUACUCGCGGCUUAUCAGCUUGUUGGUGGGGUAGUGGCUUACCAAGGCUUUGAAGGGUAGCCGGCCUGAGAGGGUUACCGGCCACAUUGGGACUGAGAUACGGCCCAGACUCCAACGGGAGGCAACAGUGGAGAAUAUUGCACAAUGGGCGGGAGCCUGAUGCAACAACGCCGCGUGCGGGAUGACGGCCUUCGGGUUGUAAACCGCUUUCGCCUGUGACGAGGCGUGAGUGACGGUAAUGGGUAAAGAAGCACCGGCUAACUACGUG